This 497-nucleotide ribosomal RNA is filed under the name uncultured bacterium. RNAcentral's name for it is "partial 16S ribosomal RNA". It matches the Rfam family "Bacterial small subunit ribosomal RNA", at positions 28 to 507 of the family's 1533-position model. The record is from RNAcentral.
GAUGAACGCUGGCGGCGUGCCUAAUACAUGCAAGUCGAGCGAACAUAUGAGGAUCUUGCUCCUCUGACGUUAGCGGCGGACGGGUGAGUAACACGUGGAUAACCUACCUAUAAGACUGGGAUAACUUCGGGAAACCGGGGCUAAUACCGGAUAAUAUAUUGAACCGCAUGGUUCAAUAGUGAAAGACGGUUUUGCUGUCACUUAUAGAUGGAUCCGCGCCGCAGUAGCUAGUUGGUAAGGUAAGGGCUUACCAAGGCAACGAUGCGUAGCCGACCUGAUAGGGUGAUCGGCCACAAUGGAACUGAGACACGGUCGAGACUACUACGGGAGGCAGCAGUAGGGAAUCUUCCGCCAUGGGCGAAAGACUGACGGAGCAACGCCGCGUGAGUGAUGAAGGUCUUCGGAUCGUAAAACUCUGUUAUUAGGGAAGAACAAAUGUGUAAGUAACUAUGCACGUCUUGACGGUACCUAGUCAGAAAGCCCCGGCUAACUACGUG